UACGAAGGGUGCAAACGUUAUUCGGAAUCACUGGGCGUAAAGGGUGCGUAGACGGUAUGUUAAGUUCGUUGUUAAAGGCUCUGGCCUAACCGGAGUAUUGCAAUGAAAACUGGCAUGCUAGAGGGUGAGAGAGAGAAGUGGAAUUCCUGGAGUAGCGGUAAAAUGCGUAGAGAUCCGGAGGAACACCAGAGGCGCAGGCGGCUUGCUGGGUCUGUAUUGACGCUCAGACACGAAAGCAUGGGGAGCGAACGGG
This 253-nucleotide ribosomal RNA is filed under the name uncultured bacterium. Its description in RNAcentral is "partial 16S ribosomal RNA". It matches the Rfam family "Bacterial small subunit ribosomal RNA", at positions 524 to 776 of the family's 1533-position model. The record is from RNAcentral.